CUACGGAGGGUGCAAGCGUUAUUCGGAAUCACUGGGCGUAAAGGGUGCGUAGGCGGUUUGAUAAGUCUGAUGUGAAAUCCUAUGGCUCAACCAUAGAACUGCAUUGGAAACUGUCAGACUAGAAUACUGAAGGGGCAGAUGGAAUUAGUGGUGUAGAGGUAAAAUCCGUAGAUAUCACUAGGAAUACCGAAAGCGAAAGCGAUCUGCUGGGAAGUUAUUGACGCUGAGGCACGAAAGCGUGGGGAGCAAACGGGAUUAGAAACCCUAGUAGUCC
Molecule: ribosomal RNA, 274 nt
Filed under: uncultured bacterium
Lineage: Bacteria
Description: partial 16S ribosomal RNA
Rfam family: Bacterial small subunit ribosomal RNA
Source: RNAcentral